UUCGUCUGCAAACGAGCUCCCGCAGACCUGUCUGCAGUGGUUUUGGGUCUCCAACACCUGGCAGCUCAGCCCUGCCUGGUGCCUGGCGUGCGGGGCUCCUCGCCGCGUCUUCAGACCAGGAAAGUUGUGUAAAAGUCUAUUACCAUGAAAAACACAGUGCCUCAAGGUUGCACUGAACAAAGUUUGAUUUCAAUUAUGCUUUCAGUGGUAAACAAUUCCUAGAAGUUGAUCAGCAAAGUGCCAGUUUGUAUCGUGAGUUGCAGUAGGGCGUUUUGUUUUUCCUCGUAAAACCUUUCCUGGUAAAUAUCAUUUGCACAGAUACUGGGCAAACUCUGGUCCCGUCUUUUAAAAUAUUCUUGCUUCCUUUCUCAAUCAAACAUUGCAACUCUGAAUAAGCAUAGCACGCCAAGGAAUCCCAACAGUGUGGGUAUGAAGGUUUGAGAAGAAUAUUGGGUAGAGCCUGCAUGGAUGAAGGUGGAAAUCUCCUGACUCGCCUUUCCAUGCCUGUGGAAUGACCCCCUUGAAGUGUAUUGGAUCAACAAUAGAAGUCAGGAAAAUUAU
Passer domesticus (house sparrow) is the source of this 561-nucleotide long non-coding RNA. RefSeq lists it as uncharacterized. The transcript has 2 exons. The record is from RefSeq and is a predicted model, not a curated record. NCBI's taxonomy places the organism in Eukaryota, Metazoa, Chordata, Aves, Passeriformes, Passeridae.